Molecule: ribosomal RNA, 79 nt
Filed under: Pseudoalteromonas shioyasakiensis
Lineage: Bacteria; Pseudomonadati; Pseudomonadota; Gammaproteobacteria; Alteromonadales; Pseudoalteromonadaceae
Also listed under: 2 other names
Description: partial 16S ribosomal RNA
Rfam family: Bacterial small subunit ribosomal RNA
Source: RNAcentral
CACCACGGAGUGAUUCAUGACUGGGGUGAAGUCGUAACAAGGUAGCCCUAGGGGAACCUGGGGCUGGAUCACCUCCUUA